GACGAACGCUGGCGGCGUGCUUAACACAUGCAAGUCGAACGGAAAGGCCCUGCUUUUGCGGGGUGCUCGAGUGGCGAACGGGUGAGUAACACGUGAGUAACCUGCCCUUGACUUUGGGAUAACUUCAGGAAACUGGGGCUCAUACCGCAUAGGAGCUCCUGCUGCAUGGUGGGGGUUGGAAAGUUUCGGCGGUUGGGGAUGGACUCGCGGCUUAUCCGCUUGUUGGUGGGGUAGUGGCUUACCAAGGCUUUGACGGGUAGCCGGCCUGGGAGGGUGACCGGCCACAAUGGGCCUGAGGUACGGCCCAGACUCCUACGGGAGGCAGCAGUGGGGAAUAUUGCACAAUGGGCGGAAGCCUGAUGCAGCAACGCCGCGUGCGGGAUGACGGCUUUCGGGGUGUAAACCGCUUUGGCCGGUGACAAAGCGUGAGUGACGGUAAUGAGUAAAGAAGCACCGGCUAACUACGUG
This 468-nucleotide ribosomal RNA is filed under the name uncultured bacterium. RNAcentral describes it as "partial 16S ribosomal RNA". It matches the Rfam family "Bacterial small subunit ribosomal RNA", at positions 28 to 507 of the family's 1533-position model. The record is from RNAcentral.